Molecule: ribosomal RNA, 465 nt
Filed under: uncultured Klebsiella sp.
Lineage: Bacteria; Pseudomonadati; Pseudomonadota; Gammaproteobacteria; Enterobacterales; Enterobacteriaceae
Description: bacterial SSU rRNA
Rfam family: Bacterial small subunit ribosomal RNA
Source: RNAcentral
CCUACGGGAGGCAGCAGUGGGGAAUAUUGCACAAUGGGCGCAAGCCUGAUGCAGCCAUGCCGCGUGUGUGAAGAAGGCCUUCGGGUUGUAAAGCACUUUCAGCGGGGAGGAAGGCGUUAAGGUUAAUAACCUUGUCGAUUGACGUUACCCGCAGAAGAAGCACCGGCUAACUCCGUGCCAGCAGCCGCGGUAAUACGGAGGGUGCAAGCGUUAAUCGGAAUUACUGGGCGUAAAGCGCACGCAGGCGGUCUGCCAAGUCGGAUGUGAAAUCCCCGGGCUCAACCUGGGAACUGCAUUCGAAACUGGCAGGCUAGAGUCUUGUAGAGGGGGGUAGAAUUCCAGGUGUAGCGGUGAAAUGCGUAGAGAUCUGGAGGAAUACCGGUGGCGAAGGCGGCCCCCUGGACAAAGACUGACGCUCAGGUGCGAAAGCGUGGGGAGCAAACAGGAUUAGAUACCCUAGUAGUC